This 61-nucleotide non-coding RNA is filed under the name unclassified sequences. RNAcentral's name for it is "GP20-b RNA". It matches the Rfam family "GP20-b RNA". The record is from RNAcentral.
UGUCCGCAAUGACGUAAAACUAUGUAAGCAAGUGGAGGCAACCCACGUAAAAACAAGCGUA